Molecule: ribosomal RNA, 655 nt
Filed under: uncultured Pseudomonadota bacterium
Lineage: Bacteria; Pseudomonadati; Pseudomonadota
Description: bacterial SSU rRNA
Rfam family: Bacterial small subunit ribosomal RNA
Source: RNAcentral
CACAUGCAAGUCGAGCGGGCGAGGUUGCUUCGGUAACUGAGCUAGCGGCGGACGGGUGAGUAAUGCUUAGGAAUCUGCCUAUUAGUGGGGGACAACAUUCCGAAAGGAAUGCUAAUACCGCAUACGCCCUACGGGGGAAAGCAGGGGAUCUUCGGACCUUGCGCUAAUAGAUGAGCCUAAGUCAGAUUAGCUAGUUGGUGGGGUAAAGGCCUACCAAGGCGACGAUCUGUAGCGGGUCUGAGAGGAUGAUCCGCCACACUGGGACUGAGACACGGCCCAGACUCCUACGGGAGGCAGCAGUGGGGAAUAUUGGACAAUGGGCGCAAGCCUGAUCCAGCCAUGCCGCGUGUGUGAAGAAGGCCUUUUGGUUGUAAAGCACUUUAAGCGAGGAGGAGGCUACUUGGAUUAAUACUCUAGGAUAGUGGACGUUACUCGCAGAAUAAGCACCGGCUAACUCUGUGCCAGCAGCCGCGGUAAUACAGAGGGUGCGAGCGUUAAUCGGAUUUACUGGGCGUAAAGCGUGCGUAGGCGGCUUCUUAAGUCGGAUGUGAAAUCCCUGAGCUUAACUUAGGAAUUGCAUUCGAUACUGGGAAGCUAGAGUAUGGGAGAGGAUGGUAGAAUUCCAGGUGUAGCGGUGAAAUGCGUAGAGAUCUGG